GGAAUCUUCCACAAUGGACGAAAGUCUGAUGGAGCAACGCCGCGUGAGUGAAGAAGGGUUUCGGCUCGUAAAACUCUGUUGUUAAAGUAAGAACAUAUCUGAGAGUAACUGUUCAGGUAUUGACGGUAUUUAACCAGAAAGCCACGGCUAACUACGUGCCAG
Molecule: ribosomal RNA, 162 nt
Filed under: uncultured bacterium
Lineage: Bacteria
Description: partial 16S ribosomal RNA
Rfam family: Bacterial small subunit ribosomal RNA
Source: RNAcentral